CCAAGAGACGUGGAAACCGCAAAAAAGAGGUGCAACGAGGGACAGCGGGACUUGGGCCGUCGAGUGACCGAGAGCUCAGCAAAGAAUGGCACCAUGAAGAGACAAGACCGGAGGAGAGGGAGCCACAUCCUUCCAUUCCAUCUAGCUCACCGGCAACAGUAAAAGCGUCUGGGAAAAAAAAGCUUGCAGACAAACC
Molecule: long non-coding RNA, 196 nt
Organism: Ixodes scapularis (black-legged tick)
Lineage: Eukaryota; Metazoa; Arthropoda; Arachnida; Ixodida; Ixodidae
Exons: 3
Source: RefSeq, a predicted model, not a curated record